UGCAUUCACUACUUUAAGUCGCUCUGGAUAAGAGCGUCUGCUAAAUGUAAUGUA
Molecule: non-coding RNA, 54 nt
Organism: Salmo salar (Atlantic salmon)
Lineage: Eukaryota; Metazoa; Chordata; Actinopteri; Salmoniformes; Salmonidae
Source: Rfam